CUAGCGCAUAACAAUUGGAACUUGUGAGACAAGACGACUAUACGGCAUGGUGGUUAGAGUCACCACCAGAGGUAUACUUCUUCUUCCGCUUCCGGUUUCACUUUCAAACUCACUCUUCGUAUUCUCUUCUUCUUCUUCGAUGCGUUCUACAUUCACACUAUUUCGCAAUCUCACUCUAUCCACUCUCCACUCACCACCACCACGCACGCUCCCUUUCCGACUUCUCCCCACCCGUUUUCCCCGCCUCCAAGCUGCCACCGACCAAUGGGUUCUCCAUGAAGACCUUCCGGAACAUGACUUUUUCCAUUUCGAGGUGGAGCCGGAGGCUGAUCAGAAGCGGCUUCCCCGUCCUGAGGUCGAGGUGAUGGAGUUGAGUGAGGUGCCGGAACUGUGGCGGAGAUCUAGAGUUGCUUGGCUGUGCAAGGAGCUGCCCGCUCACAAGGCGGGAACUCUGAUUAGGAUUCUUAAUGCGCAGAGGAAGUGGUUGAGACAGGAAGACGCCACCUAUAUCAUUAUGCAUUGCUUGCGGAUUCGCGAAAACGAUACUGCUUUUAGGGUAUACAAAUGGAUGAUGCAACGGAGUUGGUAUCGAUUUGAUUUUGCUCUUGCUACCAGGCUGGCUGAUUACAUGGGUAAAGAGCGUAAGUUUGCAAAGUGCCGUGAGGUUUUUGAUGAUAUUAUCAAUCAAGGACGUGUUCCCAGCGAGUCAACAUUUCAUAUAUUGGUUGUGGCUUACCUAAGUUCUCCUGUUCAAGGUUGUUUGGAUGAAGCAUGUGGCAUUUUCCACCGAAUGAUUCAGUUGGGUGGAUAUCACCCCUGUCUUAGCUUGCAUAAUUCCCUUUUCAAAGCUCUUGUUAACAAGCCAGGGAAUUUUUCAAAGCAGUACCUUAAGCAAGCUGAGUUUAUAUAUCACCGAAUGGUUACAACUGGAUGUCAUGUACAUAAAGAUAUUUAUGGUGGCCUAAUUUGGCUGCAUAGCUAUCAAGAUUCUAUAGACAAAGAAAGAAUAGAAGCAUUGAGGGAAGAGAUGCUUCAUGCUGGAAUUGAUGAGAGUAAAGAGGUGCUAGUAUCGAUCUUGAGGGCUUGUGCAAGGCUGGGGGAGGUGGACGAAGCAGACAAAACUUGGUCCAAACUUUUGCAGUUUGAAAGCAACCCUCCAUCACAGGCUUUUGUGUACAAGAUGGAAGUCUACUCUAAGGUUGGUAUGCCUAUGAAGUCGUUGGAGGUAUUUAGGGAAAUGCAGUUGAAACUAGGUAACACAAGUGUUGCAGCAUAUAAUAAAAUAAUAGAAAUACUGUGCAAAGCACAAGCAUCCGAAUUUGCAGAAUCAGUCAUGACAGAUUUUGUCAAUAGUGGUCUGAAGCCCCUUACACCAUCAUAUGUUUAUUUACUGAACAUGUACUUCAACUUGGAAUCACAUGAUAAAUUGGAAGAGGUGUUCUCUCAAUGCCUGGAGAACUGUCGUCCUAAUACUGCUAUUUACAGUAUAUAUUUGGAUUCUUUGGUGAAAGUUGGUAAACUCGACAAGGCUGAGGAUAUCUUUAGCCAAAUGUUUCGUGAUGCAAGUAUUGGUGUCAAUGCCCGAUCAUGUAACAUCAUCUUACAUGGAUACCUAUAUUCGGGAAAUAACUUAAAGGCGGAGAAGAUCUAUGACUUAAUGUGCCAAAAGAAGUAUGACAUUGAUGCCCCGUUAAUGGAAAAGCUUGACUUUAUUCUGAGUUUGAGAAGGAAAAUUAUUAAAAAGCCAACGAGCCUGAAGCUAAGCAAAGAACAGAGAGAAAUACUGAUUGGGAUGCUUUUAGGUGGUUUGCAGAUUGAUUCUGAUGACCAAAGGAAGAACCACAUUAUCCGUUUCGAUUUUGAUGGCAAUUCUGAGAGCCAUUAUGUCUUGAAGAGUCAUAUACAUCGCCAGUUUUAUGAGUGGUUGCAUCCUACUUUUAAGCCAAGUGAUGACAGUGAGAACAUACCAGUUAAGUUUUGCACCAUUGCAAGCUCUCAUUUUGGCUUUUAUGCCGAGCAGUUUUGGUCAAAAGGUCAACCUACAACUCCAAAACUUAUUCAUAGGUGGUUGUCACCAUGUGUUCUUGCAUACUGGUACAUGUAUGGGGGCCAUCGAAAUUCAUCGGGGGAUGUUUUACUGAAAAUUAAGGCAAAUCGUGAGGGAGUGGAGAACAUUGUCAAAAAGUUCAAAGCCAUGUCAAUUGAUUGUAAAGUCAAGGGAAAGGGAAAGGUUUUCUGGAUUGGUAUUUUGGGAAGCAAUACGACUUGGUUCUGGAAAUUGGUUGAGCCAUAUAUUCUAGAAGAUGUAAGAGAUUUCACUAAGGCUGGUGUGAAUAUGAUGGGGCAGGAUUUAAUGGAAACUCAAGACAUUAACUUCAAUAGUGAGUCAGAUGAAUGAAAAAGGGUGAUACUGCAUUGUUGAUCAUGGUUGGACUCGGGAAAACAAAAUUUAGUAGUUCGCCGGACUAGGUUACACUUUUACACAGGUGGCUAGAAGCUGAAAACAUGUUUGCCUUUUGUACUCAAUGUUUUUUGGGGGGCUGCCAUGGUGAGUCUGCUGAUCUUCUGAAUCCUGCUCUCUUCCUGGUCGUAUUUGCUAUGAUUAUUUUUGGCUUGUUGGGUUUUGUCUUUCCUGUGAUCUUAAUAAUAUUCUUAUGACGCUGUUUCAUCUACGUAGCCGACUCUACCUAGUGAGAUAAUGAUUGGUUGUUGUUAUUGGGGUCUUCAUAAUCUUCUUUGAGCUUUAUAAGGGAUCUUCGGUGAGUUUAUCUUGGGUUUUGGUUUUCUUUUGGUUUGUUUGAUGACUAUCCUGCAUAUAUUAUGAACAAGGAUCUUCCGGCUCACCUUUUGAGAUACUUACCAGUUACCAUGCAACAAUUUCCUCAAGAUUGUGUUUCAACAAUUUCUCUCUGUUAGAUUGAAGGUUUCAGUAGUAGCACUGCAUUGGGAAGAUUGUAGAGAGCAAAACAUGUUUUUGUAGGUUUUUGUUCUCUUUCUCUGUGUCAAUUUAAAAUUCUGUCCUUUAUUUUUUGUCUGCUUCUCUUCCUUUUUAUGCUUAAAUUAUUACUUUAAAAUUUUGGGAUUCUCUUCCUGUUGGUUCUGAAGCAGUUUUAGCUGCGGUGGGGGUCCAGUGGGGGUCCAGUGAUUGCUGGAGCUUCCUCUAGAUAAGAAAAUAAAGAAUGUGAUAAGGAAAAGAGAAAAUUAUUCAAACAAAGUUCAAUAACUCAUAUAUAAUACCAGUGAAAUUGGUUCACACGUUGAUUCUUUAUGGGAAAAUGUAGGAAAAGAAAGUGUUUGCUUUUGUGUCUCAUGAAGUCAUGAGGAUCCAGUUGAUGUAAUUUGAAAAGAAUAUAAUGUGUUUUUUGGUCCUUAAGCUUUGUUUUCUUGACGUACGUGACAAUGUUCGAGGGUACAUAAACAUACAAAAAUACAUAAUCUGAAUUCUGAAGUGAUUUUUUAUGAAAUUGUUGGAAACUUGGAACUA
Molecule: RNA transcript, 3484 nt
Organism: Trifolium pratense (red clover)
Lineage: Eukaryota; Viridiplantae; Streptophyta; Magnoliopsida; Fabales; Fabaceae
Gene name: pentatricopeptide repeat-containing protein At2g15820, chloroplastic-like
Exons: 4
Source: RefSeq, a predicted model, not a curated record